RNAcentral lists this ribosomal RNA (499 nucleotides) under uncultured Glomeromycotina. RNAcentral describes it as "partial small subunit ribosomal RNA". It matches the Rfam family "Eukaryotic small subunit ribosomal RNA", at positions 591 to 1092 of the family's 1831-position model. Lineage: Eukaryota; Fungi; Glomeromycota. The record is from RNAcentral.
CCAAUAGCGUAUAUUAAAGUUGUUGCAGUUAAAAAGCUCGUAGUUGAAUUUCGGGAUCAAUAUGUCGGUCGUGCCUCGGUACGUACUGGCAUCAUUGGUUUCUCCCUUCUGAAGAACCUCGAUGUCCUUUAUUUGGUGUCUUGGGAAAUCAGGACUGUUACUUUGAAAAAAUUAGAGUGUUUAAAGCAGGCUUGGGCUUGAAUACAUUAGCAUGGAAUAAUGAAAUAGGACGUUUGAUUCUAUUUUGUUGGUUUCUAGGAUCGACGUAAUGAUUAAUAGGGAUAGUUGGGGGCAUUAGUAUUCAAUUGUCAGAGGUGAAAUUCUUGGAUUUAUUGAAGACUAACUACUGCGAAAGCAUUUGCCAAGGAUGUUUUCAUUAAUCAAGAACGAAAGUUAGGGGAUCGAAGACGAUCAGAUACCGUCGUAGUCUUAACCAUAAACUAUGCCGACUAGGGAUCGGAUGAUGUUAAUUUUUUAAUGACUCAUUCGGCGCCUUACG